GCCAUUGAAGAUGCAAAGGCUGCCGACCACAAGCCAAUUGAGCGCCGGCCUCAGGCAAGGACCCGACCGCCAAGGCGGAGACCUGUCGCAAAACUACGAGCCAAAGCACGAGGGCCAACAUAGGCCGAAGAACCGCUCGGAGAAGGGCAAGGAAGUGCUACUGCCGCAGGCUGAAGCCGACCAGCAACCAUGGCGCCCAAAUUCGGCCAACACUACCAUCUCCACCGCCGGUAGACUGCCGCCACCCUCCAUAACGCCAAAGAUCACAUGCGGAUAGAUCUGCUCACGAGGACGCUAGAGACGGCCGAGGUGGAGCCGGAUCCACCGUGCCAUCCCUGAUAGUUUUUUGAGAGAUUUGCACCCUUCCAACCGGGACUAAUAUUCAGUUUUCUACUAGUGGUCGGGCACCAAGCCGAGGACGCGGAGGAGCACGUCAUCAUCGAGGUCGCUGAUCAGGUUGAAG
Molecule: long non-coding RNA, 463 nt
Filed under: Setaria italica (foxtail millet)
Lineage: Eukaryota; Viridiplantae; Streptophyta; Magnoliopsida; Poales; Poaceae
Description: long non-coding RNA (SITA_LNC002788)
Source: RNAcentral